This is a long non-coding RNA of Papaver somniferum (opium poppy), 1201 nucleotides long. RefSeq lists it as uncharacterized. Lineage: Eukaryota; Viridiplantae; Streptophyta; Magnoliopsida; Ranunculales; Papaveraceae. The record is from RefSeq and is a predicted model, not a curated record. The transcript is spliced from 2 exons.
CACCCAUUUUCGGUGAUAGAAUUAUGCACAUACCCAUAUUUUAACAUUUGAUGUUUUCUUUUCUUUCACAUCUCUUCUAUAAACAAGAGAUAUAACAACGAGAACACCAUUAACCACAUCUUUCUUUUGAUAUCUUUCUAUCUAAUUCAAUCAAAAUCCUAGAAGACAUAACCUAAAUUCAAUUCAAUCUUUCUUUUUGUAGCUUCAGAUUUUAAUGAUUUGAUUGCGGGUGUUUGUUUUCUCCAAUUUGAUAAACCUCAUUUUAGAUCUGGAAAAGGGUACAUUGUUGCUUGUGAUUUUAAGCUGAAAUAGACGGAGAGGAGAUGACAGACACUGCUAGAGAGAAUGAAGAUUGCUACUGUUAUUGUGAACCGGAGAUUGAUUGAGGUGGAUUCGAGAUCUGAGAAGAAGGAAUCAGAAAUGCAUUUGUUGCUUCUGGUGACGAUUCAUAUGGAGUUUUGUUGUUGAUAGAGGAGAUGUGAUUGGGUUUUGCUCAGAUGAAGAGUCAAAGAAGAAUGUUUAUCAGUUUAUGUAUGUUGCAGAUUAGUUGAAUAUUCAAAGAAGAAUGUUUGUUUUGUCAUGUUUUUUGAUAAACAAAGUAUAUCGAAACUAUCUUCAGAGGGGCAUAUGCGAGAUGACAGAGGAUACAUUGGCUUAUGGAAAAUCGUUAUCGUGAGAAACUUGCCAUAUGUUGACAUGCAGAGAACAGAGGUGCCGAAAUUUUUAUCUCACCAUCUCUUUCCAUCUGCUAGAUGGAGUUUGAACAUUACAAGCACCAGGAAGAGCAAGAGCUAGUGUUGGACUAAUUGCAAGACCUAAUGCGGCACUGGCACCAGUAUUAAGGAUUGAGCAAAGGCACUCUGGUUGUGUUUGAACCACACUAGUAAGUUGUGAACAACAGGAAGAUGAUGGGGUUGAGGAAUUUCAUGUUAUGUAGGUAAGACAAGGUGCCAUGCCCGUGAUCACAUUUGUACAACUAGAUUGAGCCGUUACAUGUGUCGUGAAUGCAGUCACAAGGACUACUAGAAGAACCAUUUCCAUCAUUAUCAAUGGAGCAGCCAUUUGAAUGAAUAUGAAAAGAGAAGAAAAGAAUGUUGUGGGAAAAUGUAAAUGAAAAGGAAAGUGUUUAGAGAUUAAUUGUUAGAGAAAAUGUGGGUUUCACUUGGAGAUAAAUGUGAGAAGUUGUGGUAUUUAUAAGAGA